RNAcentral lists this ribosomal RNA (497 nucleotides) under uncultured bacterium. RNAcentral describes it as "partial 16S ribosomal RNA". It matches the Rfam family "Bacterial small subunit ribosomal RNA", at positions 28 to 507 of the family's 1533-position model. The record is from RNAcentral.
GACGAACGCUGGCGGCGUGCCUAAUACAUGCAAGUCGAGCGGACAGACGGGAGCUUGCUCCCUGAUGUUAGCGGCGGACGGGUGAGUAACACGUGGGUAACCUGCCUGUAAGACUGGGAUAACUCCGGGAAACCGGGGCUAAUACCGGAUGGUUGUCUGAACCGCAUGGUACAGACAUAAAAGGUGGCUUCGGCUACCACUUACAGAUGGACCCGCGGCGCAUUAGCUAGUUGGUGAGGUAACGGCUCACCAAGGCAACGAUGCGUAGCCGACCUGAGAGGGUGAUCGGCCACACUGGGACUGAGACACGGCCCAGACUCCUACGGGAGGCAGCAGUAGGGAAUCUUCCGCAAUGGACGAAAGUCUGACGGAGCAACGCCGCGUGAGUGAUGAAGGUUUUCGGAUCGUAAAGCUCUGUUGUUAGGGAAGAACAAGUGCCGUUCAAAUAGGGCGGCACCUUGACGGUACCUAACCAGAAAGCCACGGCUAACUACGUG